AAGAGACGUUGCCCUUCGGGGUAUACCUCCCACCCUUUGUUUAUUAUACCUUUGUUGCUUUGGCGGGCCCGUCCUCGGACCACCGGCUUCUGCUGGUCUGUGCCCGCCAGAGGACCUAAAACUCUGUUUGUUAAUAUUGUCUGAGUACUAUAUAAUAGUUA
This 161-nucleotide unclassified non-coding RNA is filed under the name soil metagenome. Its description in RNAcentral is "partial internal transcribed spacer 1". The record is from RNAcentral.